This is a small nucleolar RNA of Gossypium raimondii (Peruvian cotton), 106 nucleotides long. It matches the Rfam family "Plant small nucleolar RNA R71". From Rfam's summary of the family: R71 is a member of the C/D box family of snoRNAs containing the C (UGAUGA) and D (CUGA) box motifs. The record is from Rfam. NCBI's taxonomy places the organism in Eukaryota, Viridiplantae, Streptophyta, Magnoliopsida, Malvales, Malvaceae.
AUUUCAUGAUGAGGGCACUUCCGUAAUAAUUUUUUGUACAUUUCCCAUACCUCAUACAAGGCUCAUCAUCCAUUUGUUGGAAAGCAGUGAUCUCGUUCCUGAACUU